GAUGAACGCUAGCUACAGGCUUAACACAUGCAAGUCGAGGGGUAACAAGAGAAAAGCUUGCUUUUCUUGUUGACGACCGGCGCACGGGUGAGUAACGCGUAUCCAACCUGCCUAUAACUAGGGAAUAACCUUGCGAAAGUAAGACUAAUGCCCUAUGAUUUCCUUUGAUGACAUCAGAUUAGGAAUAAAGAUUUAUCGGUUAUAGAUGGGGAUGCGUCUGAUUAGCUUGUUGGCGGGUAACGGCCCACCAAGGCAACGAUCAGUAGGGGUUCUGAGAGGAAGGUCCCCCACAUUGGAACUGAGACACGGUCCAAACUCCUACGGGAGGCAGCAGUGAGGAAUAUUGGUCAAUGGGCGGAAGCCUGAACCAGCCAAGUAGCGUGCAGGAUGACGGCCCUAUGGGUUGUAAACUGCUUUUAUACAGGAAUAAAGUUAGCCACGUGUGGUUAUUUGUAGGUACUGUAUGAAUAAGGACCGGCUAAUUCCGUGCCAGCAGCCGCAGUAA
This 505-nucleotide ribosomal RNA is filed under the name uncultured bacterium. Its description in RNAcentral is "partial 16S ribosomal RNA". It matches the Rfam family "Bacterial small subunit ribosomal RNA", at positions 28 to 523 of the family's 1533-position model. The record is from RNAcentral.